This 497-nucleotide ribosomal RNA is filed under the name uncultured bacterium. RNAcentral's name for it is "partial 16S ribosomal RNA". It matches the Rfam family "Bacterial small subunit ribosomal RNA", at positions 28 to 507 of the family's 1533-position model. The record is from RNAcentral.
GAUGAACGCUGGCGGCGUGCCUAAUACAUGCAAGCCGAGCGAACGGACGAGAAGCUUGCUUCUCUGAUGUUAGCGGCGGACGGGUGAGUAACACGUGGAUAACCUACCUAUAAGACUGGGAUAACUUCGGGAAACCGGAGCUAAUACCGGAUAAUAUUUUGAACCGCAUGGUUCAAAAGUGAAAGACGGUCUUGCUGUCACUUAUAGAUGGAUCCGCGCUGCAUUAGCUAGUUGGUAAGGUAACGGCUUACCAAGGCAACGAUGCAUAGCCGACCUGAGAGGGUGAUCGGCCACACUGGAACUGAGACACGGUCCAGACUCCUACGGGAGGCAGCAGUAGGGAAUCUUCCGCAAUGGGCGAAAGCCUGACGGAGCAACGCCGCGUGAGUGAUGAAGGUCUUCGGAUCGUAAAACUCUGUUAUUAGGGAAGAACAUAUGUGUAAGUAACUGUGCACAUCUUGACGGUACCUAAUCAGAAAGCCCCGGCUAACUACGUG